GAUGAAGAACGCAGCGAAAUGCGAUAAGUAGUGUGAAUUGCAGAAUUCAGUGAAUCAUCGAAUCUUUGAACGCACAUUGCGCCCCUUGGUAUUCCAUGGGGCAUGCCUGUUCGAGCGUCAUUUGUACCUUCAAGCUUUGCUUGGUGUUGGGUGUUUGUCCAUUCUCUUGCAGAGGGACUCGCCUUAAAGUAAUUGGCAGCCAGUGUUUUGGUUUUGAAGCGCAGCACAAGUCGCGAUUCAAAGCUAUACGCCCGCUUCCACAAGCCUUUUUCACUUUUGACCUCGGAUCAGGUGGGGAUACCCGCUGAACUUAAGCAUAUCAAUAAGCGGAGGA
Molecule: unclassified non-coding RNA, 334 nt
Filed under: soil metagenome
Description: partial contains 5.8S ribosomal RNA, internal transcribed spacer 2, and large subunit ribosomal RNA
Rfam family: 5.8S ribosomal RNA (bases 1-120)
Source: RNAcentral